AUACAUACCAUUCACACGCACCGGCAAUCUGGCAGCUCCAAUUCACCUCAGCAUGUUCUCGGAUUGUUGGGGAAACGGGAGAGCCCUCAAGUCAUCAGCACCGCGGACGCCGUACAGCUUUCAUGUGACACGAGGUUAUUCCCGAGGUGCUCAGAAGGGGGCACCAUUCGCUAAACCAUAACCCCAAGACGGGAACUACUCGCCUUUUCGCUGUUUUCCUAUUCAUCACCGGGUAAUAGAGGGCAAAACGAAGUUAAUCAGAAACGCAACGGCUCCCCGGUCACCGAGGCCAUGUACUAUAAAUGGAAGAUGGAUAGAUGGAUCGUUUUAUGAAGUAUAUCCUGCACUUAAGCAGCUUCGGUACCCACUGAAGCAUACUCUAGUGGCCAGAGCCAGACAUGGGAGCUUAUGGGACCAGAUGCCAAACAGAUUUUAAAGAGCAGUUAGACAGUGCGAGUCUUGGGACCCUCCGAGGUCCACCUGGGAUUGGACUCCGUUCGUGGUUCUCCUGAAUUCCUCGUCUUCCAACACACGUGUCGUUCUGCAGUCACCGGUUUGCUGCUGCAUGUGUGUAGUCGAGCCUCUGUUUACACUGUAACUCUGUACAUAUUUAUCAUCUUGGUAAUUGCAGUUCUGUCCUGCAGAGAAUUACUCAUGGGAAAAAAUCAGUAGGUCCCUAAAAUGGACAACUUACAUUCACAUAAAGAGCAGGAUUAUGACACGCUUUGUAAACUGGAUUUCUGUAAAAUGACAUGCUGCCAGUCCUGCUUUACUUAUUACCUAAUUAAGCUUCUUGUUCUGGGGAAAAAAAGAAGCUUAUUUUAAUUGUGCCGUUUGCCCUUUAGUGUAAAUGCAUUGAUUGGAUUUCGGAAUGUUUGACCUCUGAAAACAUUUGUGGUCGUCUGCAGGAAUAAGACGGAUACAAAGUAUCAAACCGCAUCAUUAGGUUCCGUUUUUGAAGGCCGUCACAAAAACCAUGCCUGAGGAAAUGUCUGCGCUAUCAGCAUGCAGCUCGCAAAUAAUAAAGAAGAAUAAUUUAACCUUGAGAUUUCGAAUUUACUUAACACAUUUUGGAUUGUUAUAGUCAGCCUUGAAUUUGAUACGUAUUGAAGAACUGCAGCUAGCACAUAUUUUUUUUAGCACAUUUUGGAUUGCUAAAGGUAGCGUUUAAUUUAGUAUAUUUUAGAAUACUAUGGCUAGUUUGGGUUAAAAAUAACACAAACUAAGAACACCUUCCAAUGCCACUGAAUUAAUCUGUCCGUGGAUUAUCCUCCGAUUACCUUGGUAGAAAUUUUUGUGUUUUGCCAAAGUGAAACAAUAGUAUGAUCAUUUUUAUUCAUGUGCGUCAAUAACCAGUGAAAUGUUGGGCAGCCUGCUGUUUUGAUAUGAUCUAGAACAUAGAUCAUAGAUCUUUCUUGUUCUCUGUUCACAUACAACCUGUUGUUAUUUUAUUCUCUAUUUCUUGUACUCGUGUCCGAAACGUAAAAACAUGUUUCUGUUGAUAGGUAUUUAAGGUUUAUGUUAAACUGGUAGGAUGAAGCUUGUGCUUGGAAAUUAAAUGUUUAAUGGGUCCUCAGUUCACAGCUCUUUCCCUUACUAUAUGCAAACACUAUCAUGUUAUCUGACGGCUGAUCGCUGAAGUAGUUUAACGAGAGACACUCGACUCUGAAUUAAAUUAAAAUGGUCAGGCAUGACCAGAUUGUCUAAUAUCUCACUUUAUCUUUUCUUCUUCGGAGGUUUGAGGAAUCCCCCCUCACCUAUUGUCGUUUAUGAUGUACUGUGACAUUUCAGUCUCGGCUAGGACCAUCCAACCCGUGAAUAACAGCAUCUCAACGAUGUCGGAAAAUCUUUGUUUAUUUAUUUAUUUGUUUUAUCGCAGUCAGAUCGAGGGCUGGCGUUAAUUGCUUCAUUCGGUUCACUUUGCGUGCCAUUUAUUUAUUUAUUUUUUUGUUGUGGCAGAAGAUAAUCUCUGAGUACUCCACAUCUUCGGAGUAUCACCAAAUACAAUAAUUAAAAAUCGUAAUUUAUCAAAUGUGAAGUAUUUUCGAGACUUCAUUAAAAAAUUUCUUAAAAACUGAAAACAACAAGGAAGUUCCAGAAAGGUAAUGAUGAAAUGGUGAUGUAACUGUAACUAAUAUGCCAUACAUUCAGCAUGUGUGCCUCUUUUCCCUCUCUCUCUAGAAAUAUUUUCUGCUUAUGUUGUAUGUUCAGACCUUAACAAAAGGCAAGCCUACAGUUGCCCAAACACAGUGUGAUGUUGCUAUUGCUGACAGACAGGUUGCAGUAUCUCCACUGUGUAGUUUGCUUUUUUUUUUCUCUUUUUCUCUGUAACUGUGAUUUAAAACGAAUAAUUUGUUACGCUUCAAUAUAUGGUAUUUAGAAAAUUGUUAUGUCAUUGAAAAUGUUAAUUUUCUGUGCUGCUUCUUCAGCCACAAAUCAUGUUCUCUGACACUCCGCAAUCGUUCUUUUUCUGUUCUGUGAUAUGCAGCAAACACAUUGCAUGCCUUCUGUUAUACUCAGUAAACACGCUGCAUGUGUUCUCUCACACCCAGUAAGCAGAGUACUGCUGUUCUCAUACUCAGUAAACAUACUGCUUGUAUCCUCUUACACUCGGUAAGUACGCUGCAUGAGUUCUGUUAUGUUCAGUAAACACACUGCUUAUGUUCUGUUAAACUCUGUCAGUGCAGUGCUGCUCUUCUCCUACUCAGUAAACACACUGCAUGUGUUCUCUUACACUCAGUAAAGACACUGCAUGUGUUCCGUUAUGUUCAGUAAGCACAUUGUUGCUGUUCUGUCAUACUCAAUGAUACUCUUAAUAAAAAGUGAUCAUUUUCACAGAAAA
Molecule: long non-coding RNA, 2842 nt
Organism: Brienomyrus brachyistius
Lineage: Eukaryota; Metazoa; Chordata; Actinopteri; Osteoglossiformes; Mormyridae
Exons: 4
Source: RefSeq, a predicted model, not a curated record